RNAcentral lists this ribosomal RNA (625 nucleotides) under uncultured bacterium. RNAcentral describes it as "bacterial SSU rRNA". The stretch from base 1 to 542 matches the Rfam family "Bacterial small subunit ribosomal RNA", at positions 338 to 873 of the family's 1533-position model. The record is from RNAcentral.
CCUACGGGAGGCAGCAGUGGGGAAUAUUGGACAAUGGGCGAAAGCCUGAUCCAGCAAUUCCGCGUGUGUGAAGAAGGCCUUCGGGUUGUAAAGCACUUUAGGUUGGGAAGAAAAAGCUUCGGUGAAUAUCCGGAGUGUUGACGGUACCAACAGAAUAAGCACCGGCUAACUCUGUGCCAGCAGCCGCGGUAAUACAGAGGGUGCAAGCGUUAAUCGGAUUUACUGGGCGUAAAGCGUGCGCAGGUGGUUUCGUAAGUCGGAUGUGAAAGCCCCGGGCUCAACCUGGGAACUGCGUUCGAUACUGCGAGACUAGAGUUUGGUAGAGGGUGGCGGAAUUCCCGGUGUAGCGGUGAAAUGCGUAGAUAUCGGGAGGAACAUCAAUGGCGAAGGCAGCCACCUGGGCCUGAACUGACACUGAGGCACGAAAGCGUGGGUAGCAAACAGGAUUAGAUGCCCUGGUAGUCCACGCCGUAAACGAUGAGAACUUGACGUUGGUUCGUUUUACGAAUCGGUGUCGUAGCUAACGCGAUAAGUUCUCCGCCUGGGGGNGGUACGGCCGCGAGUAGAACGUACAANAGAGUAGUACGGCGUGAGAGUCGCCGACGGACGACGACGAGGGAGGAGG